UCUUGGGCGCCUGGGUGGAGCACUCUGGAAUGAGCAUGGCUUUUGGAAGGACAGCGCCAUAUGCAGGCAGGUGCUGGUGGGCAUCUCCACCUCAGACCUAGCCAGGGCCUCUUCCCCUUAAAGGCCCUCCUCAUAUGAAGACAUUCACUGGGGAGACCUCGCUGUGCCCUGGCUGUGGGGAGCCCGUCUAUUUUGGUAAGUGACAGUGGAAAGCUUGGGGAGGGGGAUACAGUGUGGGCAGCAAGGGGCAGGGAGGUGAUCCAAGGCAGGUGGGUCUCCCUACUCUACCCCUAGAAUGGAAGCAUUACCACUUCUCUCCACCACCAGCUGAGAAGGUGAUGUCAUUAGGCAGAAAUUGGCACCGACCGUGUCUGAGGUGCCAGCGUUGCCACAAGACCCUGACUGCUGGGAGUCAUGCUGAGCAUGAUGGAGUCCCCUACUGCCACGUCCCCUGCUACGGCUACCUGUUUGGCCCCAAAGGUGUGAACAUUGGCGAUGUGGGCUGCUACAUCUAUGACCCAGUGAAGAUAAAAUUCAAAUGAGACGCUAACAAAAAAGGUCACCCUAACUCAGGCCUCCCAUCAUGCCCCUCAUGGUCCAAUGGGAGCUACAAAAAUCUACAGUCCCAUGGGGGUUGGG
Molecule: small RNA, 639 nt
Filed under: Pongo abelii (Sumatran orangutan)
Lineage: Eukaryota; Metazoa; Chordata; Mammalia; Primates; Hominidae
Description: retained intron
Source: RNAcentral